Molecule: ribosomal RNA, 681 nt
Filed under: uncultured bacterium
Lineage: Bacteria
Description: bacterial SSU rRNA
Rfam family: Bacterial small subunit ribosomal RNA
Source: RNAcentral
UACGGAUGAAAGCAGGGGAUCGCAAGACCUUGCGCGGACGGAGCGGCCGAUGGCAGAUUAGGUAGUUGGUGGGGUAAAGGCUCACCAAGCCGACGAUCUGUAGCUGGUCUGAGAGGACGACCAGCCACACUGGGACUGAGACACGGCCCAGACUCCUACGGGAGGCAGCAGUGGGGAAUUUUGGACAAUGGGCGCAAGCCUGAUCCAGCCAUGCCGCGUGCAGGAUGAAGGCCUUCGGGUUGUAAACUGCUUUUGUACGGAACGAAAAGGUCUUCUCUAAUAAAGAGGGCUCAUGACGGUACCGUAAGAAUAAGCACCGGCUAACUACGUGCCAGCAGCCGCGGUAAUACGUAGGGUGCAAGCGUUAAUCGGAAUUACUGGGCGUAAAGCGUGCGCAGGCGGUGAUGUAAGACAGAUGUGAAAUCCCCGGGCUCAACCUGGGAACUGCAUUUGUGACUGCAUCGCUGGAGUGCGGCAGAGGGGGAUGGAAUUCCCAGUGUAGCGGUGAGAUGCGUAGAUAUUGGGAGGAACACCAGUGGCGAAGGCGACUUUCUGGACGGUGUCUGACGCUGAGGCGCGAAAGCCAGGGAAGUGAACGGGAUUAGAUACCCCGGUAAUCCUGGCCGUAAACGAUGGGUACUAGGUGUAGAGGGUAUCGACCCCUUCUGUGCCGGAGUUAAC